This 492-nucleotide ribosomal RNA is filed under the name uncultured bacterium. RNAcentral describes it as "bacterial SSU rRNA". It matches the Rfam family "Bacterial small subunit ribosomal RNA", at positions 28 to 529 of the family's 1533-position model. The record is from RNAcentral.
GACGAACGCUGGCGGCGUGCCUAACACAUGCAAGUCGAGCGGAGAUGUACUGAAGAUUUAUCGGAUGUACAUCUUAGCGGCGGACGGGUGAGUAACGCGUGGGCAACCUGCCUUUCACUGGGGGAUAACACAGGGAAACCUGUGCUAAUACCGCAUGACAUCACGUAGGGCAUCCUAUGUGAUCAAAGGAGAGAUCCGGUGGAAGAUGGGCCCGCGUCCAAUUAGCUGGUUGGUGAGGUAAAGGCUCACCAAGGCGACGAUUGGUAGCCGAACUGAGAGGUUGAUCGGCCACAUUGGGACUGAGACACGGCCCAGACUCCUACGGGAGCAGCAGUGGGGAAUAUUGCGCAAUGGGGGAACCCUGACGCAGCAACGCCGCGUGAAGGAAGAAGGUCUUCGGAUUGUAAACUUCUUUGAUGAGGGACAAUAAGUGACGGUACCUACAAAAACAGCCACGGCUAACUACGUGCCAGCAGCCGGGUAAUAGUACUA